Molecule: long non-coding RNA, 1030 nt
Filed under: Cyanistes caeruleus (blue tit)
Lineage: Eukaryota; Metazoa; Chordata; Aves; Passeriformes; Paridae
Description: lncRNA (ENSCCEG00000007864.1)
Source: RNAcentral
AUGGAUCUGCCCUGGCAGAUUCCCACUGUUCUUCCCUGGGAUCUGCCGAUGGAGCUACUCCCCCCUCUCUGCUGUUCCACUACCAGCUCUCCCAAGUUUCCCUGGAGAAAGAAACCAGGAUGCUCCUUAAGCAAAGGAUCUGUGCCCAGGACACCUGAUGGAGCAUCGUGGAUGAGGGAGGAUCCCACCAAAGCUCCUUUCACACUGAGAGCCCCAAGCAGCCAUCAGAUUCCCCAGAGGGUGCAGCACUGCCCGAGGCAGCUCCAGUUCCAUCAGCAGUGUAUCCCUGAGGAAAUGAAGGGGAUGGGCCAGUGAUCUCAGUUGCUCUCUUGGAACCAUUAUUGUUGAACUGGUAAAUAUUUCCUUUUAAAUGCUUACAUGCUUUCAAAAAAUUUGCAGGGCUUAGUGGGAACAAAUAUUCCCAGGGGGCUGUAUCCUGCCAUUCAUUUGCACAUCAGAUCCCUGCUAUCUUUAAGAAUGGUUCUGUGCAUGGGCAGGCGCCUAAGUCAUUUGAGAAACAAUAACCCUCUGUGCUCUAAUUUUCCAGACAAAAAUGUAGACAAAACAAGUGGCAAUUUGGCACAAACCGAGCCACUUUGAUAAAUAACCGGGCAUUUAAGAGGAGAAGUGUGUAGGCAGCUGGGCUCGGGCUGCCCGAGCUGUCCCAGGGCAGGUGCUGGGCAGCCGGAGCUGAGCCCUGGGUGUCACCCUGGAGAUUCCCUCUGCAGCUGGGGGGCUUCCAGGGAAUUCUCUAAGCAUCCUUUGGGAUUUGCUGGAAAGCUGGCGGUUCAUCACCGGCUCCUGCAGGAUUUUGGGAUGAGCUCAGGGCGAUUAGCGGGCACGGCGGGAGGGUCAGGACCAGGUCUCUAACCUAGGGAGCGCUGAUGUCUCCUAAAACCCUCUGUGCUCGUGGUGGGGAGUGCGGACCACGACAGGAAUUUUUAGUAAAGAGAAUUAAUUCUGCCCUGGCCACUGCACUGGUGAGGGACCAUUCCCCGGGAGAGUCCGAACACCCCUGGGCGAGGGGGUG